UUAAAAGAUAAGCUAAGAUCAAGCUAAUGGGUUCAUACCCCGGAUAUGAGUAUUAAUCUCUCUUUUUAG
RNAcentral lists this transfer RNA (69 nucleotides) under Paraglypturus tonganus (nomen nudum). Its description in RNAcentral is "tRNA-Met". Lineage: Eukaryota; Metazoa; Arthropoda; Malacostraca; Decapoda; Callianassidae. The record is from RNAcentral.